Molecule: ribosomal RNA, 497 nt
Filed under: uncultured bacterium
Lineage: Bacteria
Description: partial 16S ribosomal RNA
Rfam family: Bacterial small subunit ribosomal RNA
Source: RNAcentral
GAUGAACGCUGGCGGCGUGCCUAAUACAUGCAAGUCGAGCGAACACACCAGGAGCUUGCUCCUCUGACGUUAGCGGCGGACGGGUGAGUAACACGUGGAUAACCUACCUAUAAGACUGGGAUAACUUCGGGAAACCGGAGCUAAUACCGGAUAAUAUAUUGAACCGCAUGGUUCAAUAGUGAAAGACGGUUUUGCUUUCAGUUAUUGAUGGAACCGCGCGGCAUUAGCUAGUUGGUAAGGUAACGGCUUACCAAGGCACCGAUGCAUAGCCGACCUGAGAGGGUGAUCGGCCACACUGGAACUGAGACACGGCCCAGACUCCUACGGGAGGCAGCAGUAGGGAAUCUUCCGCAAUGGGCGAAAGCUUGACGGAGCAACGCCGCGUGAGUGAUGAAGGUCUUCGGAUCGUAAAACUCUGUUAUUAGGGAAGAACAAAUGCGUAAGUAACUAUGCACGUCUUGACGGUACCUAAUCAGAAAGCCACGGCUAACUACGUG